UUAUAUUCAAGCUCUUAGACAUGCUCAAUAGAGAGAAGCAAUGAAGUUUGAAUUAGAUUGUCAUGACCUAAUUUUUGGGCCAUGACUGGCGCAUGGACUCAAUGGACAUAGUCCGUUAAGCCUAGGCAAGCCAAUUUAUAUAAUCUUGCUCAUCAUCCCGUCAACCAUUCUUACAUUUACAUCUCAUAAGCUCAACCCUUAAAUACUUUAAUAGUAAGUUAUAACAAUCAAAACUACAUUUAUAUUAGCCCAAAAUAACCUUAACCAUUGCCACUCAUGGUGGCUUUACCAAUCAAAAUGUACAUAUAUGGUCUAAGGCAUACAUCUUAGUACUUUACAUCACAUGUAUGUAUUUACAAACAAAAAUGACUCUAGGCUUCCAGCGGAGUGACCAAGGUGAGGGUGCGACUACGGAGUGCCAAGAUACUUACCAAGGAGACGAAACUACGUGGACACCUCGACCUAGGUUCCAACUGCCUCCUGAUCCGAAAACAUGAAGUUGAAAACAGAGAGUACAAACUCAGUGAGUGAACAUAAGAAGGGAAUAAGCAACGAUAAGGAAAAUUGAUAAUCACGAUGCAUUUAUUUGAAAACAAUGCAAUUUAGUUCAAGUUCUUAUUAAAAUCCCUCCAUUAAACCUUUGGUUAUUAAAUCAUUAAUGAUGAAAGAACCACAUCCAACAUGAAAUUGGAAAGAAAGGAAAUUCCCAACAAUUAUCCGAACAAGGCAGCAUAAUAGAUAGAUUAUCGCUGCAGCGGAAAGGCAUUCUCACUGUAGUAAACUUCGAGCACAAAUCAUUAAUGGAACGAAGGUUUCACUCAACUACACGAGGGUUUCACGUUAGAACCCCUUGUCUCAAACUAAAUUAAUUAAUCCAUUGACAUUGGAAAUCCAUGAUCAACCAUAAUGUUAGAGAAGUGGAAAAUAUGGCAAAAACCAACAAGGUAGCAUGAAGGACAGAAAGUUUCUCGUUGCAUCGAGAUUCAGGGGACAAAACAGAAUGUUUCUCAUUGCAGUGAGAAUUCAUUCUUGCUGUAGUGAGUUGCAGGCAGCAAAAACAUAAUGUUUCUCGUUGCAGCGAGAAGCGGGGCACCUAAAUAAAGAAGCACCUCCUUUGCACUAAACAUCUAUUUGGUGCUGCAAUAAAAUCAAUUUGCAAGUAAAUGGAAAUUUUCAAGAUUCAUCAUGCCAUACAAUCACAUAUUAUAAUCAUGAUCUUUCUAUUGCAUAUACAUAUACCUAAACAUAUAUCAAUUUGUAUACCACCCCAUCGCACCUAACUCAUGUGCAUCUCCCCACAUCGUGCACUUAGCCGAAGUCAUCGCGUGCAUCACCCCACAUCGUGCAUAAUUGAUGCCAUCGUGUGCAUCCCCCCACAUCGUGCACACGUGCAAUAUCACCAUCCAUCUCCCUCACCACCAUCAUCACCGGUAGGUGCACACUCACCCCGCACAUGCACGGUUGCAUUUGUCACACAAUGGUACCAUUUAUGACAUAGUGUAUAUAUAUAUAUAUCAACAUUAUACAGAACCAUAUGGAUUCAUCACACUAUCCAUUUCAUAACAUAAAAACAUUUCAUAAGGGCUUGUUCCUGUGCAAGUUUUGAAGAAAGAACCAAUAAAAUGUUUUAGGGGAUUCAAUCAAACAUACAUGUGUAUAUCUUAAAACCUUUUUUUUUAAUACAAGUUCAUUCAUCGGUAUUUGUUGAACCUUUAGUCGAAUCUAACUUUCCUAAUGGUCUAAUUAGGGUUGAGAGGCCUCGUUGGGACCUAUCACGCAUAAAAACAUCACAGCCAAUCCAAUUUACAUUAAUAUCACUCCAAAAGCUGUUUCCCAAAUCAAGCUUCAAUAGCUCUUCCUAUCUACCUUCCAAUUACCAUCUGAUUGGCUAUUCAGUUUUUCUUCUUUAGUAACACUAGAAAUAGAUAAACAACUUCAGCAAUAACAAAACUCAUAACUUCAAUUACUAACCAUUAUCAACAACUUAAAACCAAUCAUAAUUCAUCACUCACCUUGGUAGAUUGUAAUGAAAUUCCUCCCCAAGAGUCCUCAAGCUAUCAUGAAAUCUCUCUCUCUUUCUUUACACAAUUCAGCUGAUGAGAGAAAGUAUUGAAGAAAGACUUUUAAGGGUUUGUUUAAGGUGAGGGAGUAAAAGAGUAUGAAAAACCCUAUAACAGGGUGUGUAAAGCACGAAGAUUGAGGUUAGUUUGAGAGAGUGAUGGAAGCUUGAGAGAAGCUUUCAUGGAAGAGGAGAGAAACGUGAGAUGGGAGGAAAAAGAAGAA
Molecule: long non-coding RNA, 2283 nt
Filed under: Theobroma cacao (cacao)
Lineage: Eukaryota; Viridiplantae; Streptophyta; Magnoliopsida; Malvales; Malvaceae
Description: long non-coding RNA (TCAC_LNC000521)
Source: RNAcentral